UUAUCCUCCUUCAAAUAAAAAAAAAAGAGGAAAAAAGAAGAAAAAUGUAUUUUUAAUAAAUCUCCCAAAAUAAUUUUCAGACAUUGUUGGCAGUCUUUCUGUCUUUUUCCCUUUCUCCAUUCAGAACUUAUUUUUUUUUUUUUUUUUUUUUUUUUUAAUACUGACUAACGAUGAAACAUACUGGUUGAAGAAUUGGAACAGUUGGGAGAAAUGAGGGCUCACAAACAAGACAGAGUAGCUUUUUAUGUUAUUAAAACUGUUUUCCCCUUAAGGAACAGAUUGUUAUGUAAUAGAAGAAGGAAGACAUCAUGAUGACCUAUCAAACUGUUGUCUUGUGCGCCUCUCCUGACACUUGCAGUAACAUGGCUCAAAGCGAUAGUUACUACAAAUGCAAGGAAGGGCGAGGAGGGAGGAAAAUUCACUCCAGUUGCUUCCCUGAGAGAGUGUCAGAGAAAAUUGGUUCUUCUCUUUGAGAAACUUGAAGACAUGCUUUGGAUAAUUCAUACAAAUAAGUAGGAGAGAUAAGACAUGUUGAAAGAAGGAAAUUCUGGAUGUUGAAAGUGUUACAAGCUACAAUGUUCAAGAUUUUCCUGAGCUAGAUUUAGCUGAAAAUCUGAGCGCAUACACUGAGUCUUCGAAAAAAGAUAAGAACUGAAAAUUGGACGUGAAUAAA
Molecule: long non-coding RNA, 673 nt
Filed under: Anser brachyrhynchus (Pink-footed goose)
Lineage: Eukaryota; Metazoa; Chordata; Aves; Anseriformes; Anatidae
Description: lncRNA (ENSABRG00000021534.1)
Source: RNAcentral